This 955-nucleotide non-coding RNA is filed under the name Mustela nivalis (least weasel). RNAcentral's name for it is "12S ribosomal RNA". It matches the Rfam family "Bacterial small subunit ribosomal RNA". The record is from RNAcentral. Lineage: Eukaryota; Metazoa; Chordata; Mammalia; Carnivora; Mustelidae.
AAAGGUUUGGUCCUGGCCUUCCUAUUGAUUAUUAACAGAAUUACACAUGCAAGUCUCUACAUCCCGGUGAAAAUGCCCUCUAAAUCUACUUAUCGAUUAAAAGGAGCGGGUAUCAAGCACACUAAUUAGUAGCUCAUAACGCCUUGCUCGACCACACCCCCACGGGAUACAGCAGUGAUAAAAAUUAAGCCAUGAACGAAAGUUUGACUAAGCCAUGUUAACACAGAGAGCUGGUAAAUUUCGUGCCAGCCACCGCGGUCAUACGAUUAGCCCGAACCAAUAGGCAAACGGCGUAAAACGUGUUAAGGACUAUAUUAUACUAAAGUUAAAAUUUAGCAAGGCCGUAAAAAGCUACUGCUAAUACAAGAUAAACCACGAAAGUGACUUUAUUACCUCCAACGACACGAUAGCUGAGACCCAAACUGGGAUUAGAUACCCCACUAUGCUCAGCCCUAAACAUAAAUAAUUCUCACAACAAAAUUAUUUGCCAGAGAACUACUAGCAAUAGCUUAAAACUCAAAGGACUUGGCGGUGCUUUACAUCCCUCUAGAGGAGCCUGUUCUAUAAUCGAUAAACCCCGAUAAACCUCACCACUUCUAGCUAAAUCAGUCUAUAUACCGCCAUCUUCAGCAAACCCUUAAAAGGAAGAAAAGUAAGCACAAUAAUAAUACAUAAAAAAGUUAGGUCAAGGUGUAACCCAUGAAGUGGGAAGAAAUGGGCUACAUUUUCUAAUCAAGAACACACUCACGAAAGUUUUUAUGAAAAUUAAAAACUCAAGGCGGAUUUAGUAGUAAAUUAAGAAUAGAGAGCUUAAUUGAAUAGGGCCAUGAAGCACGCACACACCGCCCGUCACCCUCCUCAAGCAAUACACCCAAACACUACAUAAUAAAACUCACUCAAAGCAAGAGGAGACAAGUCGUAACAAGGUAAGCAUACUGGAAAGUGUGCUUGGGUA